Molecule: ribosomal RNA, 253 nt
Filed under: uncultured bacterium
Lineage: Bacteria
Description: partial 16S ribosomal RNA
Rfam family: Bacterial small subunit ribosomal RNA
Source: RNAcentral
UACGUAGGUGGCAAGCGUUGUCCGGAUUUACUGGGUGUAAAGGGCGUGUAGCCGGGUUGACAAGUCAGAUGUGAAAUCCUGCGGCUUAACCGCAGAACUGCAUUUGAAACUGUUGAUCUUGAGUACUGGAGAGGCAGACGGAAUUCCUAGUGUAGCGGUGAAAUGCGUAGAUAUUAGGAGGAACUCCGAUUGCGAAGGCAGCGUACCGGCAUCCAACUGACGCUGAGGCACGAAAGCGUGGGGAUCAAACAGG